This 497-nucleotide ribosomal RNA is filed under the name uncultured bacterium. RNAcentral's name for it is "partial 16S ribosomal RNA". It matches the Rfam family "Bacterial small subunit ribosomal RNA", at positions 30 to 523 of the family's 1533-position model. The record is from RNAcentral.
AUUGAACGCUGGCGGCAUGCCUUACACAUGCAGGUCGAACGGUAAUAGGUCUUCGGAUGCUGACGAGUGGCGAACGGGUGAGUAAUACAUCGGAACGUGCCUAGUAGUGGGGGAUAACUACUCGAAAGAGUGGCUAAUACCGCAUGAGAUCUACGGAUGAAAGCAGGGGAUCGCAAGACCUUGUGCUACUAGAGCGGCCGAUGGCAGAUUAGGUAGUUGGUGGGAUAAAAGCUUACCAAGCCGACGAUCUGUAGCUGGUCUGAGAGGACGAUCAGCCACACUGGGACUGAGACACGGCCCAGACUCCUACGGGAGGCAGCAGUGGGGAAUUUUGGACAAUGGGCGAAAGCCUGAUCCAGCAAUGCCGCGUGCAGGAUGAAGGCCUUCGGGUUGUAAACUGCUUUUGUACGGAACGAAAAGCCCCGGGUUAAUACCCUGGGGUCAUGACGGUACCGUAAGAAUAAGCACCGGCUAACUACGUGCAGCCGCCGCCGUAA